CCUACGGGGGGCAGCAGUGGGGAAUAUUGCACAAUGGGCGCAAGCCUGACGCAGCCAUGCCGCGUGUGUGAAGAAGGCCUUCGGGUUGUAAAGCACUUUCAGCGGGGAGGAAGGCGGUGAGGUUAAUAACCUCAUCGAUUGACGUUACCCGCAGAAGAAGCACCGGCUAACUCCGUGCCAGCAGCCGCGGUAAUACGGAGGGUGCAAGCGUUAAUCGGAAUUACUGGGCGUAAAGCGCACGCAGGCGGUCUGUCAAGUCGGAUGUGAAAUCCCCGGGCUCAACCUGGGAACUGCAUUCGAAACUGGCAGGCUAGAGUCUUGUAGAGGGGGGUAGAAUUCCAGGUGUAGCGGUGAAAUGCGUAGAGAUCUGGAGGAAUACCGGUGGCGAAGGCGGCCCCCUGGACAAAGACUGACGCCCAGGUGCGAAAGCGUGGGGAGCAAACAGGAUUAGAUACCCGAGUAGUC
This 465-nucleotide ribosomal RNA is filed under the name uncultured Klebsiella sp. RNAcentral describes it as "bacterial SSU rRNA". It matches the Rfam family "Bacterial small subunit ribosomal RNA", at positions 338 to 795 of the family's 1533-position model. Lineage: Bacteria; Pseudomonadati; Pseudomonadota; Gammaproteobacteria; Enterobacterales; Enterobacteriaceae. The record is from RNAcentral.